RNAcentral lists this long non-coding RNA (1455 nucleotides) under Daphnia pulex (common water flea). Its description in RNAcentral is "uncharacterized LOC124198750, transcript variant X1". Lineage: Eukaryota; Metazoa; Arthropoda; Branchiopoda; Diplostraca; Daphniidae. The record is from RNAcentral.
UUAUCUGGCUCUUCGAUGUUCCCGGAUCCGGGUGUUCAACAGCUCGUUGUCAAUUCCCCCUCUCUCGUCAUCCAGCUCGCCUCUCGUAGUGGCCUCAAAUUCCUGUUAAUUAUUCCAAUUAUUAUUCCAAUUUCCAAUUGAUUAACCGAAAAUUAUUUUUUUGUUUAAUUAAAAAAAAAAUCUGUUCACAUUCAUGCAACCCUGCCCACCCCCCCUCAAUUUCAGUGCAAAUUAUUCAAAAUGGUGGCCGUCUGACAUGUUGAUUGUGAUUGCUGUGGACUGUGGUAUGCUGGUGUGAUUGUGAUAAAAUUCUCAUUCUGAGCUGGCUUAAACUGCUGUCCAUUUUGCCAAACAGUCGUCAGUUGUUACCUGUACCGCUUUACGUCUCAUCCCAUGUAGAAACACGUCAGAGCAGUUUUAACCGGUUGGUGAAAGGUGUAGUAAAGUCAGGUUGAGCUGCUACAUGCAAGUGCUGGUGUUAUCCUGACCCGUGUAGAAGUGUAACCUAACUGCAUGAAGUUUCUUGAAAUAGACCACUGGCAAGGAGAUAUUUCAACUGUACGAUGCUGCUCAAUAUGCAGUUGUUUUGUACCCGUUUCCAGUUCAUUUCCAGUUCAAGCUGUUGCUUGCUGUCUGUGGUGCUGCUGUUAUCCUGGAAUGUGUUGAUUGUCAACACCUUUGUGUGUACUGUGUGAGGUCCUGUCACCAGGGCUGCGCCUCACAAGUCACAACUGUUUGCCACGCAAAUUACUACUCCGCUGCCUCGCUAAUCAUCUCAGAGCCCCAACUACUACACCAGAGCUCCGACGUCCUCAUCUGGUUUCUGAUUAUAACUUCGCCGCCGCCCUCACCUCCGCUGAGCUGAGAGGAUUGACUUGCCAAUUGCUGCAUCACUUCGUCGACUACUUCCUCACCGCGCUGACCACCAAAGCGCCUCGCUGACUACUCCUUCGCCUUUGCGUGAAUUAUUACACUGCCGUGCCAACACCAAUCUGCUGCACCAAUUUUAGCUUUGUGGGCGCCGAACACUGGUUUACACCGUCGCUGGUCAUUACUACAUUGCUGCCUACAACCACACCGCAGCUCUGGCUGCUACUACUCCUCGGCUACGACUACUACUUCAUCUCCACUCUGACCGGUACCUCACCGCUGCUCCAGCUGAUACUUCACCGCUACUCCGACUGAUACUACACCGGUGCUCCGACUGUGACUUCACUGCUGCUCCGGCUGAUACUACUCCACUGCACUGUCUGCUACUACUACGCUGCUCCGACUGCUACUGCACACGCUCUCAGACAUUGAGCGGCAUAAAAUAGUCAUCAUCUCUUGGCUGAUUCCAUCUUCUGGAUAGCCUAGAUCAGUGCUACCAUAUGUAAGUAUCCUGCAAUGUGUUCAUCAUAUUCAUAAUUUUUGUUGGAUAAGUUAUGCACCAUGCUCCAUAUCACAACGCAUUCC